GAUGGGCAUAGGUUGUUUUUCUGGGUCUGGUAGAAUAUUCACAAAGGAUGAGUCUUGGGAUGGAGUAAAUGUGACGUACAUUACGAGGCCCCUUUGGGUAGGAAUUGGACUCUGGGGUUCCCAACAAUAGGAUGCGGAGGAUCACCCCCAUGUAGGCUACGGCCAUCAGGGAGGAGCUGAUACCCAUAGCAACUGACGGCGCUGAAGGAGCUAGGGGCCGGUGGCGCUUCGUUGGG
Molecule: non-coding RNA, 236 nt
Organism: Pelobates cultripes (western spadefoot toad)
Lineage: Eukaryota; Metazoa; Chordata; Amphibia; Anura; Pelobatidae
Source: the annotation of a GenBank genome assembly